This is an RNA transcript of Gorilla gorilla gorilla (western lowland gorilla), 4037 nucleotides long. It is a transcript of the gene named Putative KRAB domain-containing protein ZNF788, with no coding region annotated. The record is from RefSeq and is a predicted model, not a curated record. The transcript is spliced from 5 exons. NCBI's taxonomy places the organism in Eukaryota, Metazoa, Chordata, Mammalia, Primates, Hominidae.
CUCUGAAGGCGAGGCGGGGAGCACGGUCCAAUCAGGAGCGCCGGGGCGGGGCCCUGCCAACUUUUUUCGGGGAAGGAGACGGCUGCACGCCCGCGGUCUCUUGUUGCUGUGCUAACGACCGUUGGAAUCCUCUUUCCGGCUCUUGGAACGCUCGGCUCUGAGAGGCUCCAGGUUUCUCCGCCAGAGCUCCUGUCGCUCUGUCACUUGCGCUGUGUUCCUCUCUAGUCACAAGAGCCUUGGGGAAGACAGUUGGAAGCUCAGACAUGGAUUUCGCUCUUCUUGCGCAGGCUGGAGUACAGUGGCUCGAUCUCGGCCCACUGCCGCCUCUGCUUCCUGGGUUCAAGCAAUUCUUCUGCCUCGGCCUCCUGAGUAGCUGUGGUUACAGGACUCAGUGGCCUUUGAGGAUGUGGCUGUGAACUUCACCCCAGAUGAGUGGGCUUUGCUGGAUCCUUCCCAAAAGAAUCUCUACCGAGAAGUGAUGCAAGAAACCUUGAGGAACCUGGCCUCUAUAGGCCUGUGUAUCUGCGCCUGUAUUUUAGGGAAGAAAUGGAAAGACCAGAACAUUGAAAAUGAGUACAAAAAUCCCAGGAGCAACCUAAGAGGUCUUAUGGAAGAGAGACUCUUUGAAAGUGAAGGUCAUCAGCAUGGAGAAAUUUUGACCCAGGUUCUGGAUGACAUGCUGAAGAAGAAAACUGGAGUAGAAUCAUGUGAAAGGAAUGUGUGUGAGGUCAGCAUGGGUCAUUUAUCCCUUAAUAAGCACACCAGAGCUGACACUGGACACAAGCCAUAUGAGUAUCAGGAAUAUGGACAGACGCCAUAUAAAUGUACAUACUGUAAGAAAGCCUUCAGCUGUCUCCCCUACUUUCACAGAUAUGUAAUUGCACACACUGGAGAAAAACCCUAUGAAUGUAAGGAUUCUGGGAAGGCAUUCAGUUUUUCCAUUUCUUUUCAUAGUCAUAAAAGAGCUCACUCUGGAGGGAACCCCUAUGAAUGUAAACAAUCUGGAAAACCCUUUGGAUGCGCCUUAGAACUUCAAAUGCAUGCAAGGACUCACAGUGUAGAGAAACCUUACAAAUGUAAGAAAUGUGAAAAAGCAUUUAAUAACUUAUCUUCCUUUCAAAUACAUGAAAGAAUGCACAGAGGAGGGAAGUAUCAUGCCUGUAAGGGUUCUGGGAAGACAUACCGUUUUUCUGGUUUCUAUCAUAGACAUAAAAUGCCUCAUGCUGGCGGGAAGUUUUAUGGAUGUAAGAAAUGUGGGAAAGCCUUUAUUAGUUUCUGUGCCUUUCGAUACAUCAAAGGACUCACACUAAAGAGAAACCCUAUGCAUGUAAACAAUGUGGGAAAGCCUAUAUUUCUUACACUUCUUUUCAAUAUCAUCAGUUGAAUCACACUGGAGCGAAACGCUAUAAGUGUAAGCAGUGUGGCAAAGGCUUCAAUUUGCCCAAUUCCAUUCAAUAUCAUGAAAUGACUCACACUGGGGAGAAACCCCAUGAAUGUAAGCAAUGUGGGAAAACUUUCAGAUGUGCCUCAAGCCUCCGAAUACAUGGAAGGACUCACACUGGGGAGAAACCCUAUGAAUGUAAACAGUGUAGUAAAGUCUCUCGUUAUUGGAGCGGCCUUCGGGUACAUGAAGUAACUCAUAUUGGAAAAAAGCUUUAUGAAUGUAAGGAAUGUGGGAAAUCAUACUAUAGUUCUGGUUCCUUUCUAAAUCAUAAAAGGAUCCACACCAGGGAGAAGUCUUAUGAAUGCAAGGAAUGUGGGAAAGCAUUUGGUAAUCCCAUAUCCUUUCAAAAACAUGAAGGGAGUCACAGAAAAUGGAAGCCUUAUGAAUGUAAGGAAUGUGGGAAGGUAUUCAGUUUUUCCAGUUCCCUUCGGAGACAUGAAAGGACACACACUGAAAAACUCUGUGAAUGUAAACAGCAUGGGAAAGGAUUUUUUCAUAGAAGCUGCCCUAGACACAUGAAGAUACACACUGGAGAGAUACUUCAUAAACGUAAGAUACGUGGAAAAGUCUUUCAUUCUCCUAGUUCAUUUCAAACACGUGAAAGAUCUCACACUAGAGAAAAACGCUAUAAAUGCAAGCAAUGUGGAAAACCCUUCAUUUAUUUCAAUGCCUUUCAACGUCAUCAAAGGAGCCACACUGGAGAGAACCCCUAUGAGUGUAAGCAAUGUGGGACAGCCUGUAUUUCUUCCACUGCUUUUCAGUGUCAUGAAUUGAGUCACACUGGAGCAAAACGCUAUAAGUGUAAGCAGUGUGGCAAAGGCUUCAAUUUGCCCAGUUCCAUUCGAUAUCAUGAAAUGACUCACACUGGAGAGAAACCCUAUGAAUGUAAGCAAUGUGGGAGAGCUUUCAGAUCUGCCUCACACCUACGAACACAUGAAAGGACUCACACUGGGGAGAAACCCUAUGAAUGUAAACAGUGUGGUAAAGUCUAUCGUUACUGGAGUGGCCUUCGAAUACAUGGACUAACUCAUAUUGGAAAAAAGCCUUAUGAAUUUAAUGACCGUGGGAAAUCAUUCUAUAGUUCCAAUUUCUUUCUAAAUCAUAAAAGGGUCCACACUAGAGUGAAGACAUAUGAAUGCAAGGAAUGUGGGAAAGCAUUUGAUAAUCCUACAUCCUUUCAAAAACAUGAAGGGAGUCACAGAAAAGGGAAGUCUUAUGAAUGUAAGGAAUGUGGGAAGGUAUUCAGUUUUUCCCGUUCCUUUCGUAGACAUGAAAGGGCACACGCUGGCGAAAAGCCCUGUGAAUAAACAAUGUGGGAAAGGAUUUUUCAUAUCUUCUGUGGAGCUUUGAAUGCAUGAAAAGACAGACUACAGAGAAAUGCUAAAUGUAAGGCGUGUAUAAAAGCAUUUAGUAAUUUCUCUUCCUUGCUUAUACAUGGAAGGAUGCACACUGGAGAGAAGCCAUAUGAAUGUAAGAAUUGUGGGAAAGCCUGCACAUCUGCCAAGAGCCUUCAAAAUCAUGGAAGGACACACACCGGAGAGAAACCAUGUGAAUGCAAGCAAUGUGGCAAAGCUUUCAUUUGUUCCAGUUCCUGUCAGAGACAUGAAGAGACACAUUCUGUUAAUAUGCAUUCAGUUAUCCUAAUUCCUUUGAAACACAGAAAAAGAGUAGGGAAAGGACCUCUGAGAUAACUGUUUUCUGAGUUGAGAAGAGCUACUUGUGAAUGGACAAUUAAAUCUAGAUGUAUUUAGAUAGUUCUGAUACAAUUCAUCUGUAGCCAAUCUUUUUUGAAAUUUUCUUAUUUUUUAGACGGAGUCUUGCUCUGUCGCCCAGACUGGAGUGCAGUGGCACGAUCUUGGCUCACUGCAACCUCCGCCUCCUGGGUUUAAGCAAUUCUGCCUCAGCCUCCCAAGUAGCUGGGAUUACAGGUAACCGCCAUCACGCCUGGCUAAUUUUAGAGAUGGAGUUUCACCAUGUUGGCCAGGCUGGUCUCAAACUCCUGACCUCAAGUGAUCCACCCACCUCGGCCUCCCAAAGUGCUGGGAUUACAGGCAUGAGCCACUGCGCCCUGCCACCUAUAGCCAAUCUUAAUGAGAUUUCAUAGGCACAGACAAGGAAGGUUAUCAGUCACAUUAAUUAGAGGCACAACACAGGGAGAGCAGUGUGUGGCCACAUGCUUCAGCCCAUUUUUUCUGAUUCUCUUGCUUGCAAAUUAAGAGUAUUCUCCAAAUCACUUGACUUUCCUUUUCUCAGAGUUAUAGUUCUCCAGAGAUGUCGCCAGAUGAUUCACAUUAAAGGUGCAUUUCCAAUUGACUUUUUUAUUUCAGAUAUUAGUAAAUGAUUACCAGAGAACUAAUUCAAACUGUUAUGGUUGGAAAUACUCUGAUGCUCAACUCCCUAAUCUAUAGAGUGAGUUAAGGUCUAUACUCUUUUGCAAGCAUUGUUCUAGUGGCAGUGACCCUGUUCAUGAUUCAGCCUGACAUUUACUAUGCUGCCCUGAAAACCAACUAGAUGGGAGCUUGUUUCUCUCUGCAUUGUGUAGUGAGUGGUGUCACCCAGGACUUUCACGUGAGAAAAAGCACCUUGCUCUUAA